RNAcentral lists this ribosomal RNA (310 nucleotides) under uncultured bacterium. RNAcentral describes it as "bacterial SSU rRNA". It matches the Rfam family "Bacterial small subunit ribosomal RNA", at positions 1109 to 1408 of the family's 1533-position model. The record is from RNAcentral.
ACUACGUUACCAUCAAGUUAAAGGUUGGGGACUCUCGGUCCGGACUCGCCACCGACGAAGGUGUGAAGGAAGGGUGGGAUGACGUACAAAUCAGCGACCGGUCCCUUACUCGUGGGCUACACACGUGUACAGUGGGGGGUACAGAAGGCCGCUUACCGGCGACGGUUGGCCAAUCCCUAAAGCCCCUCUCAGUUCGGACUGGAGUCUGCAACCCGACUCCACGAAGCUGGAUUCGCUAGUAAUCGCGCAUCAGCCACGGCGCGGUGAAUACGUUCCCGGGCCUUGUACACACCGCCCGUCGACGCGGCCG